ACCGGCAGCUCGAGUGGUAGCCGCGUUUAUUGGGCCUAAAGCGUCCGUAGCCGGUCCGAUAAGUCUCUGGUGAAAGCCCACAGCUCAACUGUGGGAAUCGCUGGAGAUACUAUCGGACUUGAGGCCGGGAGAGGCUGGAGGUACUCCCAGGGUAGGGGUGAAAUCCUAUAAUCCUGGGAGGACCACCUGUGGCGAAGGCGUCCAGCUGGAACGGACCUGACGGUGAGGGACGAAAGCCAGGGGCGCGAACCG
RNAcentral lists this ribosomal RNA (252 nucleotides) under uncultured archaeon. RNAcentral's name for it is "partial 16S ribosomal RNA". It matches the Rfam family "Archaeal small subunit ribosomal RNA", at positions 475 to 726 of the family's 1478-position model. The record is from RNAcentral.